This 297-nucleotide ribosomal RNA is filed under the name uncultured bacterium. RNAcentral's name for it is "partial 16S ribosomal RNA". It matches the Rfam family "Bacterial small subunit ribosomal RNA", at positions 28 to 316 of the family's 1533-position model. The record is from RNAcentral.
GAUGAACGCUAGCUACAGGCUUAACACAUGCAAGUCGCGGGGCAGCAUGUUACUGGCUUGCCAGUAAUGAUGGCGACCGGCGCACGGGUGAGUAUCGCGUAUCCAACCUUCCCAUAUCCACGGGAUAGCCUGCCGAAAGGCAGAUUAAUACCGUAUGUUGUCGCACGCUGGCAUCAAAAUGCGACGAAAGGCUUAGCGGAUAUGGAUGGGGAUGCGUCCGAUUAGCUUGACGGCGGGGUAACGGCCCACCGUGGCGACGAUCGGUAGGGGUUCUGAGAGGAAGGUCCCCCACAUUGG